AUACGUAGGGUGCGAGCGUUAAUCGGAAUUACUGGGCGUAAAGCGUGCGCAGGCGGUUUCGUAAGACAGAUGUGAAAUCCCCGGGCUUAACCUGGGAACUGCGUUUGUGACUGCGAGACUUGAGUGCGGCAGAGGGGGGUGGAAUUCCACGUGUAGCAGUGAAAUGCGUAGAGAUGUGGAGGAACACCGAUGGCGAAGGCAGCCCCCUGGGUCGACACUGACGCUCAUGCACGAAAGCGUGGGGAGC
This 247-nucleotide ribosomal RNA is filed under the name uncultured bacterium. RNAcentral's name for it is "partial 16S ribosomal RNA". It matches the Rfam family "Bacterial small subunit ribosomal RNA", at positions 523 to 769 of the family's 1533-position model. The record is from RNAcentral.